Molecule: long non-coding RNA, 1129 nt
Filed under: Rattus norvegicus (Norway rat)
Lineage: Eukaryota; Metazoa; Chordata; Mammalia; Rodentia; Muridae
Description: long non-coding RNA NONRATT031670
Source: RNAcentral
UUUGUUUUUCUUUUUCUUUCUUUCUUUUUUUUUUUUUUUUUUGGUUCUUUUUUUCGGAGCUGGGGACCGAACCCAGGGCCUUGCGCUUCCUAGGCAAGUGCUCUGCCACUGAGACAAAUCCCCAACCCCUUGUUUUUCUUUUUUAAAUUUAACUUUUCUUUUGUGUGUAGAGGUAUUUUGCCUGCAUGUCUGUGCAUUGUGUUGUGCUGUUCUUGCAGAGGUCAGAAGCAGGUAUCAUGGAACUGGAGUAACAGAUAGUUGUUGGAAAUCAAACCAAGGCCUUUUGCCAGAGCAGCCAGGGCAGCCAGUGCUCUUCACUGCUGAGAUCUUCUUUAGCAUCUGGCGCAGCCUUUAAUAGCCUCUUUCCUAAGUUUCAGUCCUUGGCAUAUGGACUAACUGACUGACUGACUGGCCUAUCUACCUAAAGUCCUGAUCCCCUCCAUUCCGAGUGCUGGGAUUACAGGCCAGACAGGCAUGGAGCCCUUGGUGCUCCUGUCUAGGUCUCCUGGGUGCCAGGUUUAAGGUGUGUGGGCCACUGUCCUGGUUCUAACUUCCCAAUUUUGUUUUACUUUUCUUAUUGACAGACUUUCUCAAAAUUACCUUUUCUUUUUACUCAAAUGAGGCGCCUUCUUAACCCACAAUCCAUCAAGAGCAUCCGUGUGAUAUGCUAGUUUACUUUUCUAAUUCACCUUAAAAUAAAAUCACCAGUGUUAGCAUUCUGCAGGUUUUUAUCUCCCUAUCUGACAUCUUCUGCUGGGCUGCCUGGUGGGAACUCCUGCUGUAGGAGUGCUGGUGACUGGGGGGUGUUUCAGGUAAACUACAUAGUGACUGAGGGAUGUCUCAGGUAAGCUGGCCUCUUUUCUCCUUAGGUCUCCAUUUUGUCAGCCAUGGAGCUUAUUUGGAACCUGUGCGAGAUUCUUUUCAUUGAAGUAGCUCCAGCUGGACCUCUCCUCCUCCAUCUUCUUGACUGGGUCCGACUGCACGUGUGCGAGGUGGACAGUUUGUCAGCAGAUGUCCUGGGCAGUGACCACCCAAGCAAGCAUGAGAGCUUCUGGAACUUGGUGAGUGUGCGGGACUGCAGUCGGCUGACUGGGAGGACCUGCUCCAGCUGCGGCUCAGCUCUCUGGGU